Molecule: ribosomal RNA, 422 nt
Filed under: uncultured bacterium
Lineage: Bacteria
Description: bacterial SSU rRNA
Rfam family: Bacterial small subunit ribosomal RNA
Source: RNAcentral
UGAGGAAUAUUGGUCAAUGGACGAGAGUCUGAACCAGCCAAGUAGCGUGCAGGAGGACGGCCCUAUGGGUUGUAAACUGCUUUAGUAUGGGAAUAAAGUCAUCCACGCGUGGAUGUUUGCAUGUACCAUAAGAAUAAGGACCGGCUAAUUCCGUGCCAGCAGCCGCGGUAAUACGGAAGGUCCGGGCGUUAUCCGGAUUUAUUGGGUUUAAAGGGAGCGUAGGCGGAUUUUUAAGUCAGUUGUGAAAGUUCACGGCCCAACCGUGAAAUUGCAGUUGAAACUGAAAGUCUUGAGUGCACGCAGGGAUGCUGGAAUUCGUGGUGUAGCGGUGAAAUGCUUAGAUAUCACGAAGAACUCCGAUCGCGAAGGCAUGUGUCCGGAGUGCAACUGACGCUGAGGCUCGAAAGUGUGGGUAUCAAACA